Molecule: long non-coding RNA, 1798 nt
Filed under: Vigna radiata
Lineage: Eukaryota; Viridiplantae; Streptophyta; Magnoliopsida; Fabales; Fabaceae
Description: long non-coding RNA (VRAD_LNC000355)
Source: RNAcentral
AGUAUCGCUUAACCUGAAAGUUUAAACUAAAUUAAAGCCUCGUGUAACCAGGGGAAAUCUUCAAAAUAUAAUCAAUAUAGAAUUAAUGCUCCUAAUCAAACUUUGCACAUCAAAGGUAUAAGUACCAUAACAGGAAAACAAUGAGAAAAUAGUAGCCUCUUACUGAUGAAUAAUUAAUAACUAAUNAACUCCUGAGUUAAAUAAUCAUAAUGAGGGAACUUGUCUUCCGAUCAAUACAACAUCGUCAUAUAUGAAUACACAAAAAUAAUAAAGGAAAGAGAAUCAGGAUAAGAUAAGGUGUUAAGAAAACCUACUCUACUACUCAGAAAAACAGAGGUCACUGAAGAAUGAAAAAUAUUAUUCACCUUAACCUUNUAACCCUGAAUACAUGGUCUUAUAUAACAAAAUAUUUGUAAAUACUAAAAAUCAGAAAUGAAAAGAUAAUGCUACUAACAAGCUAACNGAAUGCCAAAACAGAAAAUAAAGCUGACAAAUAAAAACAUCAUAUUCUAACAGAAUUAUGUGUAUCCUAACAGUCCNCCUCAAACCCAAAGUUAUUAAAAAUAAUCAAUAACUUAGAUCAGAACGCAAAAAAGAGAAAUGAGCUUGAGAAAGGGAGUUUGUCAAUAUAUCAGCAAGUUGGUCCUGNGCAGGAAUAUGAAUAACAACUAAGGAGGAAUCCAGCACUUUAAAGUGCCAAUCACUAGAUAUAUAAUCAACCAACAUCAUAGUUAAAAUACCAAGUAUAAAGUAUUAUUUAGAAUAAGGUAUUGUUAAUGGAAGCACGANCCUAAUUAACUAGAGCACAGAAUAAUAAAGUUCAGGAGUAUUUAGCCUUAUGGCUUGAAUAUUAAAGAUUUCCAAAAUAAAAGCAAAUGCACACAUUGAAAGUCUAUUAUAAUCUGAAACGUUUAUACAUCCUUCUUCUUCCAUAUCCUCUUCACUUUCACUUCCAAAGAUUUCUUCGUCAUAAAAUUCAUUAUCCAAGUUUUCAUUAUCUAAUUUUUGUUGAAUUUCCGCAAUGGNUUUUUCAAUUUUAUCAAACCUAGCUGUGUGAAGUUUCAUUUGAUUAACCAUGUAUCUUUCAAAAUCAGUUUUGGGUUUGAAAGCAUUUGAAGCAGGUUCAGCAUUUGAAACUCAACCAGAAAACUCAUCUCCAUCAACAUCCCAUCCCAUCCCCUCCCUCAACACCCAUUUUCAAUAACAAUCAAGGUUUAAGACAAACCCUAAUCUAAGCAAUUGAAACUUACCAGAUGUAGAAGACAAUGGCAGCUUCCGCUUAUAUCUUCCAGUUCGAAGAAAUAAACCUAGGGUUUCCUAAAUCGCGAUUUCAAACCUCCAAACAACAACGACCAAAAAUAGGUCAAUGUAUUACACAACCAGAGCAAAAUGAAAAAAAAAAAAAAAAAAACCUCAAAGCUUCGACUACUCACCGCCUUCGAUCGUCCAAUGCUACACUACGGUUCCAAUGACAGAGGAUGGUGGUUCGAAACUAGGAAAAAGAGAGUUCCCAUGAAGGAGAACGAGUGUGAGGUCACACACAGUGAAGGAGAUCAUCGGAUAAUGUGACGGAAGAAGAGACUGCGACAACAGGAAGAAUGAUGGGUUGACAACACAACAAUGAGUGCGACAACAGGGUUUCAGAUAGGGAAAAUCAUGGUUACAGUGAGUGAGGGAUAAUCAGGUUGCAGUGAGUGAGGGAGAAUCAUGGAUUGAUGCUAUGAUUUUAUUUUUGGCUCGAGGGAGGGAUGGAGAAAAGUGAGAAGAGUUUAAUCAGAUUGCAUACUAUUUAGUUUUA